UAGCUCAGCGGCAUAAGCACCUGCCUUGCAAGCAGGCGGUCCUGAGUUCGAUCCCCAG
Molecule: transfer RNA, 58 nt
Filed under: Cavia porcellus (domestic guinea pig)
Lineage: Eukaryota; Metazoa; Chordata; Mammalia; Rodentia; Caviidae
Rfam family: tRNA
About the family: Transfer RNA (tRNA) molecules are approximately 80 nucleotides in length.
Source: Rfam by way of RNAcentral